UACGUAGGGGGCUAGCGUUAUCCGGAUUUAUUGGGCGUAAAGAGCGUGUAGGCGGCCAGAUAGGUCUGCUGUGAAAACUCGAGGCUCAACCUCGAGAUGUCGGCGGAAACCAUUUGGCUAGAGUCCGGAAGAGGAAAGUGGAAUUCCUGGUGUAGCGGUGAAAUGCGCAGAUAUCAGGAAGAACACCCGUGGCGAAGGCGGCUUUCUGGGACGGUACUGACGCUGAGACGCGAAAGCGUGGGGAGCGAACAGG
Molecule: ribosomal RNA, 253 nt
Filed under: uncultured bacterium
Lineage: Bacteria
Description: partial 16S ribosomal RNA
Rfam family: Bacterial small subunit ribosomal RNA
Source: RNAcentral